Molecule: long non-coding RNA, 2826 nt
Organism: Sebastes umbrosus (honeycomb rockfish)
Lineage: Eukaryota; Metazoa; Chordata; Actinopteri; Perciformes; Sebastidae
Exons: 4
Source: RefSeq, a predicted model, not a curated record
UCUGAGAUUAGAUCUCCCUUAUUGUUACACACUGGCCCUUUAAGUAUUCAUCUUUAGUGUGCCCUUCAAACGGAUUAGACCAAAGUUUGCAUUGAUCCUAAUCCAGAGUCUGCAUGUGUUUUACAUGCUGUGGAAGAACAAUUUGUACAGAUCAGUGGAUGUGUGUUAACACACACUUAAACCUGCAUGAAUAGUUUGAUAAGACUGUGAUAAGUUGUGAAUGUAAGUAAUAUUCGAUUUCUGCAUAUAGAUACCCCAAAAUGCUACAUACUGGACCUUUAAGUACUUUUUCCAUCACUGCAUGGUACUGGUGGACAUACAAACAUUACACAACAUACAAACAUCAAUGUUAUGGAACAAAAAGUAGAAUAUUUCGAUGUGAAAUGUAGCAGAAGAAAACAUAAAAAGUUUCCAAAACUCAAAAUCCUCAAAUUACAGUAAACACAUUACUGUGGAGGGAUUUAUUUCAAAGAAUCACUGCACCAACUGGUUUUUACUGAUAUUCUUCUGUCUCUGGUUGUCUUGAAUGCAAAGAGUAAUUGUUUUUUUGGCUUCCAUUGCACAUUAUUGGGAAUGUGAAUAAAUAAACCUGCAAACUAAACUACAUUGACCUUGUUCGCCUGUUAAUUUUGGGGAAACACUGCCCUCUGCUGGAUAUUUGCCUUCCCUGCAGAUGAAUGAUGAAGAUAUUUGAUCACUAAUCUGUUCCAAAUUUAACAGGAAAAAUACACAAAUCUACUACAAUCCAUGCAUUCAAGAUAAAUGAACAUAAAACUAAUAUAUUUGUUUUAAAUACAAGAGAAGACUUAUUUUUGUUUGUUGUGAUUUUGUGCACAACAAGGAGUUUCCUGGCAACAGGUGUGAGUAUCCAAAGGUGACAGACAAUGGAGGUGGCCGAGGUAAAGGCUUUCAAACACUUUUAAAAGCCCAGAUUACAAAGGGCACAUGAUUGUAGCUUUUGUCAAAUUUUAUCUGUAUUUUCUUCUUCUCUCAACCUGAAUACAGGACAUAAAGAAGUCUCUUCAGAAGUCUGGAAUAAGGAGGGACGUUGAUGUUUGCCAACUCAGCGUUGCCACAAAAAAACUCACCAGCGUCCCUGACUUAUCAAGAUUUCACUUCCUGAGGAAGUUGUGGCUGAACAACAACAAGAUCAGAGAGCUCAGCUGCCGUUCCCUCAACUGCUGCUUGACUGAACUUUACCUCCACAACAACAACAUCAAGUCUAUUUCUGGGUCCCUAAACCAUCUGACCUGCCUCCGACUUCUGUUUCUCCACAACAACCAGAUCAGAGGGCUGGAGGACACAUUGCAUGAGCUCAGGAGGAUGCAGCAGCUCCAAACUGCAAGUGAGUGAUGAAACUCAUAAAUCUUGAGCCUCUGACAGUCUGUUUAUGCUUUAAACAGCCAACAAGUCCACUGAUAUCUACAAGAUUACAGCAGCGUGAGUGUAUGUCUGUAAUCUGUUGGAUACUUUUUAAUAAUGAGGGCUUCUUUGCAGCUUUUUUCCUCAAUCCCAUCUCCCAUGAACCCGGUUAUCGCCACCAUGUGAUCCACUGUUUGCCUUCUAUCCAGGUUUUAGAUAGAAAAGGUAAGAUCUCUGGGACAUACUUUAUUGACCUGCAAAGCCCCAGGCCUGUCACAAUCUACUACUUGUGUUGUGUGUGGCUUGUAUUCUGUUCCAUUUGUCUGUAUCUGCUGUGCCGUCAGAGGUGAAGUCAGCGGAGAGGAGGAGGUCCUUCCAGAUGUGCAGCCAGGAGCGUCACCGUGUCCUCCAGUCUGUGGCCUUCUGCAGACGGGCAAUACAGUCCUCAAGCUGAGACGAUGUUUGUUUCCAGUCGUAAUACAGUGCAAAGAUGUGUUUGUAAUGUAUUAGUGGCCUCAAACAUGCUUCAUAAUGAUCAGUCAAAACAUAUUACACUGCAUUUUAUCGUCCUGCUUACUCGGGGAAUCUACAUAAAGGGGAACUCCACCAAUUUGACACAUCUAAGUUUGUUUACAGGUGUUGCGGAAGUAUCGCUGCAUGUGCAAAACGUUGUAUUAAGCCUUUUGUGGCUCCAGAGGGAGCUCCGUGAAGUCUGAUAAACUUCAGUUGGGUUUGAAGGCAACAAACUUGAAAGAUUGAAAAAUCUGGGGGUGUGUAGUUAGAAAGAAGUGAGUUUACCAGACCUCUAAAGCCCGCUAUUCAUCUCUGCUUGAGGCCAGCUGCUCAAGACUACAUUAGCCGCUACUAGCAUAGGACACACAAAUAUCCGACUGAACUGUCAGUGGUCAAGUUGCGUUGAGGGAAAUGUAGGCAAGUUUUGACGAAGGAGAAGAAUGCAUGGUAUAAAUAUACUAUUCUCUGAUUCUGCUGCUUUGUAAACUGACUUAAUUGUUAUUAGAAACACACACUGUGAGGUGUGCAGGGAGAAACAUGAGGCAAAGAUACUGCGUGAGGUGAAAAAGACAGGUGCAUGCCAGUGUUCUUAAAAAAUAAAUUAAAAAAAGGGAAGUUCCUGUAGUUCGUAUGUAAAUUGUCCAUAAAUCAUAAAUUAGAAAUAAUAAUAAAAAAAAGAAGCUCCCUUUAACAGACCUUGCCUGAGAAUCUUCACGUUUUUAAGUUUUCUUCAGUAUCAAACUAAUCCAGUGAUAGUUGUCUGUAUAUCUAUGGGUACAUUGCAAACAGGAACUGCUAACAGCUACUUCGGCGUACUUUUAAUGGUGCCAAUGUGUCAAAAUGAAAACAAAUAUCAGCUAAAAACAGGGCUCAAGUUGAAACCCACAGCUAACUCACUGACUGCAUGGCAAUAUUAUACUUCCUGUUUACAUCCCCCCUAAAUAAUAGGAA